GACAGAGGGUGCAAACGUUGUUCGGAAUUACUGGGCGUAAAGCGCGUGUAGGCGGCUUGGCAAGUCGGGUGUGAAAGCCCCGGGCUCAACCUGGGAAUUGCAUUCGAGACUGAAUAGCUAGGGUACGGUAGAGGGAAGUGGAAUUUCCGGUGUAGCGGUGAAAUGCGUAGAUAUCGGAAGGAACAUCAGUGGCGAAGGCGGCAUCCUGGACCGGCAUUGACGCUGAGGCGCGAAAGCCAGGGGAGCAAACGGG
RNAcentral lists this ribosomal RNA (253 nucleotides) under uncultured bacterium. RNAcentral describes it as "partial 16S ribosomal RNA". It matches the Rfam family "Bacterial small subunit ribosomal RNA", at positions 524 to 776 of the family's 1533-position model. The record is from RNAcentral.